Molecule: long non-coding RNA, 3371 nt
Organism: Schistocerca nitens (vagrant locust)
Lineage: Eukaryota; Metazoa; Arthropoda; Insecta; Orthoptera; Acrididae
Exons: 2
Source: RefSeq, a predicted model, not a curated record
UCCCUUGGUGGUCUGAUCCAAGCGGGAUUGGAACCCUGCAUGUACGCUCCAAGUGUUUCUACACAGCUAUAUUUCAGUCGGAUCGCUAUACUACUGCAGUUAGUCACGUCUCUCUCGACAUACGUGGCGACAAUAUCCAGCCAGCUUUUCAUGUUGCUGGUGAGGCAGACUUCCUGUUUGUUCAUCCACUCCCUGAGGCUACUGCACAAACUUUCAGGCGGGACUUUGCAGCAGCCCUGUUUAACACUGAGUUACAGUGUCCGUUCUGUAUUAUUCCUGGACUUUAUUGUUUUUGAAUUUCUCUGAUUAGCGAAAAGGUAAAAAUGUUGCACGAAUCGGUUCCUCAUCCCGUGCGCACUGCACUCUUAACGUCGUCGUCCUUUGUAUUCAGUGUGUAGAAACAACCGCCUGCUUGCGCAAGUUUUAUCCCUGGAACCGAAUCUGAGUAGUGCCUCUCAAACGGACGUCGUAUGUCUUUGUCUAGGCCAAGAAUUGUAGACACCACAAGCACAUAACGGCCACCACGUAAAGAUUUCUAUCGUUUCCGUCUAAGAUUCAUCGCACGCCACCACGGAAGAAGCCGUACUAUCCUUAUUUUCAUUCUUCUUAUUGUCCUUUCUAUUUCGCAUGAGACUCGACUUGGUAAUAGUUGUCUGCGUCUCUGACGUCUUGUGCUUCGGCUGGAUAACAAUGCAGAUGUUUCGUUACUGCCCCCCGUCGUUCCAGAGAACGACGAGGUCGUCAAACUCGCCCUCGGUGCAGUCUUUGGACGAGAGGGCGAACUGCACGUCCCUCUCGGGGGCACCUCAGGAACAGGAGGGUCAACGUGCCCUCUUCAUAGCGUUCGCCUUUGCCAUUCGCAAGCUGGCGCAUCUUCUUUCGCGAAUCGGAGAACCUCCGCUUCGCUGAUCGGUCAGAGUACUACAAGCACCGACCAGCAGAAAUACCAGAAGAUACGCCAGUUUGCGACUUGUGAAGGCGAAUAGUGUGAGGAGGGCACUCUAGCCUUCCUGUUCCUGAGAUGCCUUCUAGAGGGACUGCAAUUCGCCCUCUCGUCCAACGAUUGCGCUGGGGGCAAGCUGGAGAACCUUAUCCCUUACUGGAACAGUGGGGCAGUAACCGCAGUGUUUUGCCAACCGAACCAUAAGACGUCAGGGACGCAGGCAACUAUUCCCAGAUCCAGUCUCAUGUGAAACAGAAAGGACAGUAAGAAGCAUAAAACUAAGGAUAAUAAGGAUUUUUUUCAUUAUGGUGCAUGGUAAAUAUUAGACUAAUGUGGUAGUUUCUUUACGUGGUGGCCGUUAUGUGCUUGUGCUGUCUACAAACCUUGACUCAAAGACACACGACAUAUGUUCGUCAGACACGACCCAGAAUCAGUUCCCGGGAUGAAACUUCGGGAAUCAGACGGUCGUUUGUACAGACUGAAUCCAAAUGAGUGUGAAGUUAAGCGUCCAACGCAGGACGAUGACCGAUCUAUGCUACAUUUUUAGGUUUUCGCUAGUCAUAGCAAUUAAGAGACAAUAAAGAUCAGGGUUUACACAGAACUGAAGCUGUUACUAAGUGUCGAACACAGGUGCUGCGCAGCCAUGUGUGAAAAUUUGCGUAGUAGCCUCAGAGAGUGGAUGGACACACGGGUCGUUUGUCUCAUUAGCAACUGGAAAACCUGGGCGAAUACUGUCGGCCCGUACUCCGAGAGGCAUGUGACUAAUUGCAGCAGUAUGCUGACCCGACGGAAGUACAGUUAUGUAGGAACAGUUCGAGUGCAAAUACAGGGCUUCAAUCCCGCGUGGAUCAGACCACCAGGCGAGGAAGCGCCGGCGCUGUCUGCUACGAAGGUCCACCAAACAAUCCGUGGCGAAAAACACACCGUGGUCAGCGUGACGCGUCUCAGCGAACUGGAGAAGAAAAUUCCAAGUUGCUGGGGCCAGUUCUGCCGAUGGCUGGUAAGUUUCAGUCCAAUUUUCGUUUCUUAGUAUUUCAUUGAAUACACUGACUGAAACGGAUAGUGUUACACAGUGAAACACCAGUCCCAUGUUAACCAAAUAUUGCCUGAUGCGGUUUAGGGAAAUCACGGAAAUCCUGAAUGAGGAGAUCGGACGCGGGUUUGAACCGCUGCGUCACCUCGCUCGGUCUCAAUCGCAGCGUGGUCAGUGUGUCGUACAAAUCUGACGACAUUCAUGACGACAGCUGGAAGGAGUUUACAAAGAUCUCUGUGACACUGGAUGUUUUAAGGCGAUGUUAGAUGUGAAACCUGAGGCUAUCGAAGCUGUCAUACCCUGUGAAGAUGAGAAUAGACUUGGACCCACUGCAGUGAACCACAUUCCCAGAGAGGUUACAUUACGGAAGCGAAUCAGACAAGAAUUUUUCUCAUCACUUGGACCCAAGAACGUGUGCAUUGUGGACGAAGAGUUUUACUCUUAACCGCCAAAGAAGUUUGUAUACGCAUGUAUAUUCAAAUACAGACAUACGUAGGCAGAAUACGGUGCUGCGGUCGGCAACGCCUAUAAAAGACAAGUGUCUGGCGCAGUUGUUAGAUCGGUUACUGCUGCUACAAUAUCAGGUUAUCGAGAUGAAAGUGAGUUUGAACGUGGUGUUAUAGUCGGUGCACGAGCGAUGGGACACAGCACCUCCGAAGUAGCUAUGAAGUGGGGAUUUUCCCGUGCGACCAUUUCACGAGUGUACCGUGAAUAUUAGAAAUCCGGUGAAACAUCUAAUCUCCGACGUCGUUGCAGUCGGAUAAACAUCCUGCAAGAACACGACCACAACGACUGAAGACAAUCAUUCAACAUGACAGAAGUGCAACCCUUCCGCAAAUUGCUGCAGAUUUCAAUGCUGGGUUAUCAACAAGUGUCAGUGUACGAGCCAUUCAACGAAACGUCAUCGAUAUAGGCUUUCGGAGCCGAAGGCCGACUUGUGUACCGUUGAUUGACUGCACCACACAAAGCUUUAACCCUCGCCUGGGCCCGUCAACACUAACAUUCGACUGUUGACGACUGGAAACAUGUUUCCUGGUCGGACGAGUCUCGUUUCAAAUUGUAUCGAACGGAUGGGAUAGAAUGGAGAUAACUUCAUGAAUCCAUGGACCCUAUCAUCAGGGGACUGUUCAAGCUGGUGGAGGCUCUGUAACGUUAUGUUUUAUUUAUAAAUUUGAUAAUUGACAUUAUCAAUGUUAUAUGUGGUCAUAGAAAAAUUGUAGGAAUAAAAAUGUUAGAAUUAAUAAUAAUAAUAAUAAUAAUAAUUUUUAGUGUUAUAAUCCUCUAUCUGAAACAACUACCAGUGUGUAUUUUUACAUUUGAAUAUAAAGAAAUUAUACUUUACUAACUGUCUGAAUGUAAAUGAAAAUCAAAAUUAAAUUUAAGAAAGAAAUUGGA